CCGGUUGAUCCUGCCGGAGGCCACUGCUAUCGGAAUUCGGCUAAGCCAUGCUAGUCAGAGAGCAAUCUCGGCGUAAGGCUGAGUAACAUGUGGGUAAUCUGCCCUUAGGUGGAGGAUAACCCCGGGAAACUGGGGAUAAUACUCCAUAGGCAAUUCGUGCUGGAAUGCUGUUUUGCUUAAAGGCUUGCCGCCUAAGGAUGAGCCUGCAUCCUAUCAGGCUGUUGGUGAGGUAAUUGCUCACCAAACCUAUGACGGGUAGGGGCCAUGUGAGUGGGAGCCCCCAGAUGGGUACUGAGACAAGGACCCAGGUCCUACGGGGCGCAGCAGGCGCGAAAACUUCGCAAUGCCCGAAAGGGUGACGGGGGAAUUCCGAGUGCUAUUCACUUAGUGGAUAGCUUUUGGCGAUUGUAAACAGAUUGCAGAAUAAGGGCUGGGUAAGACUGGUGCCAGCCGCCGCGGUAACACCAGCGGCCCGAGUGGUGGUCGGUAUUAUUGGGCCUAAAGCGUCCGUAGCCGGACAUUCAAGUCUCCGGGUAAAUCCAGCGGCUUAACCGUUGGAAUUCCGGGGAUACUGUUUGUCUUGAGGUCGGGAGACGGUAUGGGUACUCCUGGUGUAAGGGUGAAAUCUUCUGAUCCCAGGGGGACCACCUGUGGUGAAAACGCAUACCGAGAACGAGCCUGACGGUGAGGGACGAAGCCUGAGGGAGCGAACGGGAUUAGAUACCCCGGUAGUCUCAGGUGUAAACAAUGUCCGUUUGGUGUUGCAUACGCUACGGGCGUGUGCAGUGCCGAAGCGAAGGCGUUAAACGGACCGCCUGGGGAGUAUGACCGCAAGGUUGAAACUUAAAGGAAUUGACGGGGGAGCACCACAAGGGGUGGAUGCUGCGGUUUAAUUGGAUUCAACGCCGGG
RNAcentral lists this ribosomal RNA (910 nucleotides) under uncultured archaeon. Its description in RNAcentral is "bacterial SSU rRNA". It matches the Rfam family "Archaeal small subunit ribosomal RNA", at positions 4 to 922 of the family's 1478-position model. The record is from RNAcentral.